Monodelphis domestica (gray short-tailed opossum) is the source of this 15534-nucleotide non-coding RNA. Lineage: Eukaryota; Metazoa; Chordata; Mammalia; Didelphimorphia; Didelphidae. The record is from RefSeq and is a predicted model, not a curated record.
AUUAAACCCAGGACUCUUGGGAUGUUAUCCCAGGGAUGGCCCCUAGCCUAGAUGACAAGUAUAAGUGUUAAGGUCUGGGAUUUUACCCACCACCAAGGAAGACCCAUGGACAACGCAAUCAGGCAAAGAAAGGGCCGUUUAUUGAACUAAUGCGCACUACUGGGAACUCAGCCAAAAGAGUUCUGAGUUCCCUCCUGAAGAUUCAGUCUUAAAUACUUUUCAGCAUGAAUAACCCCCCUCCCUUCCUCAUUCCAGGCCAUUAUCUGUUGCAUGCUCUUGUUGGAAAGUUUCCGAGUUUUUUUGCACCUGGGACCUUCGUCCUGAAGUUUAUCUGUUAGUAGUUGGGACCUUGGACAGGUCCCAAAGAUUUAUCUGUCUGUGGCUUAGCAUUUCCCUUGACUGAAUAUCUCAAGGCUUGGGCAAUUUCCAACUCAGAUCUCCUUUACAAGGAGGAAAAGUAUUUGGGGAUCCUCUCUACCACAUGGGGGAAAUCUAGGAGCAUGGAAAGAUGAGUGACAUUGCUAUAGCUAAAAGGAAUUCCCUGACCGAAUACAAUCAAGCAUAAGAAAGGAAUGCUAGCAAAAGGCUAGGGUCUAAGAGAGUGGGGUGCUUAUAGUGGAUACUGAAGAAUAGUCCUCGCCAGGUGUGGAUCUUCUUGGGAAAGGGUCUCUUGAUAAAAUUGGGGAGACUAUCUAACUACGAUUGUCAUUCUCCCGAGGGUCCCUCGUCAGUCUGAAACUGCUCACCUCGGAUUCCCUCAGGAAGGAUUCCCAUGGGAACAGGGAAGAAGUACAAACUUUGGGGUCUUCAACCUACAAGCUCCUCCGUAAAUCUGGGCUUCACCAGAUCCCACUAGGCCACAAGUUUGGGAUUUCUAGAUUCCAUGUUGACACACCUUAUUGCCGAUGCUGUGAAUACAUCCACUGCAUCAAAUCAGGAAACAGUAGAAUCUGUAUUUGCCAAUGGUGGUCUGUUAAUGUAGAUACAGUAUCGUUUUUUUUUUUUUUUUGCUGGAAGCAGAAUUGCUUGCACUUUGACCGUGAUGAAAAUCAUAGCCCAGACUUGUAAAAUCCCAUGUGAUUCAUUGUCUGUUGGUUAUCUGGUUAUUUGCUGAACAGCUGUAAAAAUUAAAGGACAGCAAGAUGUAGAAAGUGUUCUAUUGAUGGACAGCACCGUGAAUCCUAUCUUGCAAAGACAGAGUUAAAAUUUUAGAACACUCUUUUGCUCUCACACCAAUCUCGCCAUUCCCGAGUCUGUGGUAAUAUCAAAGGACCAUGGCCUUCCCGGUUUUUCUAUUGUCAACCUGGAAUCAAGAAAACCCAAACUUGGGGCCUAGACGUAUCUGGUGUAGCCUGGAUUUCCGGAGGAGCUAAUAGAUUGGAGACUCCAAAGUUUGUACUUGUUCCCUGAUCCCGUGAGAAUCCAGAGAGAUAGAGACAGACAGAUAGAAAGACCGAUAGGCAGGCCGACUGGCAGAUGGGUAGUGAGAUAGGUAGGAGGGCAGAUAGAUGGAUAUAGAGAUAGCACAUAGAGAGACACGUAGUCAAACACAGAAAGAGAGAUAGACAGGCAGGCAGACAGACAGAUCGAGAGAUAAAUAGAUAGGAACAUAGAACAAAAAGACAUAGAAACAGAAACAGAAUGUGAGAUCGAGACAUUGAAAGAUUAAUAGAACUACAGGAUGAGGGAAGGUGAAAGAAAGGGACAGACAGAGACAGAUAGAUGGAAGGGCAUAUAGAGGGAAAAUGGAAUCGAGAGACAGAGAGAGACACAGAAAGUCAGGCAUAUCGAUAGACAUGUAGACAGGGAUACACAAAUAUCUCUCUCUAUCUGUCUCUCUGUCUCUCUAUGUACCUUUCUAUCUCUCUGUCUGUUGAUCUGUCUUUCUAUCUAUCUAUCUAUCUAUCUAUCUAUCUAUCUAUCUAUCUAUCUAUCUAUCGAUGUAUCUAUCGAUCUAUCUAUGUCUUUGUGUUCCUAUUGGUGUAGUUUAUGUAUCUAUCUGCCUGCUUGUUUUUGCAUGGAUCACACUGUGUGUAUGUCAUUUGUGUGUUUUAAAGUAUUGUAACAUCCUGGGGAACUACAACUCCCAAUGUGACCUAGUGGUAACAUCCCUUUGAGUCCUGGCUUGGGAUUGGUCUUGCAUUGGACCAAUCCUGUGUUGGGGGAUGGACUUUGUCUAUGGUCCCUCCUUAGCAUGGGAUUGGUCCAUCUCAAAACCAAUCCCAUGAAAAGGAACUGGGCAUCAUCUCUUACCUAGCAGGGGAUUGGUCAAAUUCAAGGCCAAUCCUUCUCAGGAAAUAAGAGGGAGGGAAACUUGUAGUAUGCUGGGAGAUAUAGUCCAGUAGGCCACAACCAUUGAAUACCCACCUGAUCUCUCCAUGUAGAAGGAGACAUAGACAGGUAGACUGACCCACAGAUUAUUUGAUCUGUUAUUCUGUCUAUUCGCCUACUGGUUCUUGUGUCUGUCAGCCUGUCUGUGUUUCUUUUGUGGGUUUUCAAGUGUAGUGACAGGCUCGGGAACUACAAGCCCCAUUGUGCCCCAGGGAUCUGUACCUUUUGAGUCCUGGCUUGGGAUUGGUCCGGAAUUCGAUCAAUCCUGUCGUCGGGGAGGGACAAUACCCAUGGCUCCUCCUUAGCCCAGAAUUGGUCCAUCUCUUUAGCAAUCACGCACAGUAAAGUAGGGAGCAUCAUUCCUCACCAAGCCUAGGAUUAGUGCAAUUCAAGACCAAUCCCAACCAGGAAAGAUGGGGGAGGGACCCCUGGAGCACACUGGGAAAUGCAGUUCUUCAGGCGACAACCUAAGAAGAGCAAAACUAUAUCUUGCUCUAUAUCCAUGUAGACUGAGAGAUGCUCAAGAGGACCGACAGACAGGACGACUGACAGACAUAAGGCUUGGUUUAUCUGUUUCUCUGUCUUACUGCAUUCCUGUCUAUGUACCUGUCAGUCUGUCUAUCUGUCUGUUCAUCAGUCCUCUCUGGGUAUCUGUUUCUAUAUAAGUAAAUAUGUGUGUUUCUGCCUAUGUAUGCAUCUGUUUAUCUCUCUCGAUCUCCAGUGUCUGUCAAUCUGUCUGUCCAUUGGUCUGUCCCUCUAUGGAAUUCAUCAAUCAGUCGAUCUUUCCCAUUCUUCUUCUCAGCUGUCCACCCUAGAAAAUCAGAACAAGUGGUUGCUGGCAAGCAAAGCAUAUGAUGGUGUCCCUGUGAUGUUCAGGUGGCUCAGAAGAUGUAUUUGGUUCAAGAUUGGAGGGGGAGUGGCAGACCUCUACUUUGGCCAGUGAGCUGUCCACCCUAGAAAAUCAGAACAAGUGGUUGCUGGCAAGCAAAGCAUAUGAUGGUGUCCCUGUGAUGUUCAGGUGGCUCAGAAGAUGUAUUUGGUUCAAGAUUGGAGGGGGAGUGGCAGACCUCUACUUUGGCCAGUGAGGUGAGUGGCUGUGGCAGACUGCAUGAUGCGUCCAAACCCUUUUUCUUUGACUCUUCCAUGAGGCGCUGGAAGUCUUGAAUAGGAAAGCAAGGAAUCAAUAGCUCAGAGGCUAAGCUCUGAGCAUUACUUCAUAGGGAUCUUAACCUGUUGUCCUGACAUUUCCCAAAAAGGAGCAUUUACUAAAGAAGAAUGGCAUUUGCUCGGGCAGGCUAUGAAACAAAGUGAGGCAAAAGGACAUAGAGUGUUAGCCGCCAUUGAGGUCCCAUGCACUCUAGUGAGGAUACUGCACAAACUGUGGAGAGUUGAGCUGUUCCUCACCUGCAGCCCCACCUUUCACUGCUUCUACUCACUCUUCUUUACCCUUUGAAUCAGAUGACCAAGGAGAUAGACCCCUUCCUUUAUGCUGCAGAUGCCAAGAACCAGCCCCAUGGCCUGGGGCAAGCCUCCUGCCCAAAUCCCUUGUUUCUGUCCUCACUGCUGUCAAAUGAUAGCUAAACCCCAGCAUGGAGGCAUGCUGUCCUCCCAAGGAGCAGAUUUUGCUGGCAAGCUCUCCCACCUUGGCUCCCUCCUGACCACAGUCAACAUGACUUUCACAUCAAUAAAAUGUCCCCUUUUCUUUUGAAGCCAUGUUUCAGAGUCUUGCAUUCUUACGAUGAUAUAACUCCGAGCUCCAGUGGAGCAUCUAUGAACCCCACAACAAUCAUUCCAGGUGCCAUUCAACAAAAUGAUGUCGUCUCCUCAGGGAGAAAACUGACACCUGAGACCAAGGAAGAAAUGCAAAAUCUUGAAACAGCUGGAGACCAGAAACUAAGUCUGGAGAAUUGAUCCUUCUCAAACUGUUCUAGCCAGCCUUUUAUUGAUUUCUUUAUUCAGAAAUUGUCUUCUUACAUUGCUUUUCAGAUUUUAUUUAGUCAGUUUAGCACAUUAUUUCUCCUCGGUGACAAGAAUCAUAUUCUUUCAAUCCUUCCCCUGCCCUACCCUUCCCAUAGUCGAGGGGAAUUCCACUGGGUAUGACAUGUGUCCUUCAGGAGAACCUCUUUUCUAGUUGUUGAUGUUUGCACUAGGAUGUUCAUUUAGAGUCUAUAUCCCCAGCCUUAACCCCCUGGACCCUUGUAAUCUAGCAGUUGUUUUUCUUGGGUGUUUCUACUCCCACAGUUUUCCUUGUGAAUGUGGAUAGUGUUGUUUCUCAUCGAUUCUGCCGGGUGAUUUAGGAUGAUUGCAUUGACACUAAUGAAGAAGUCCAUUCCAUUCCAUUCCAUUGUACCACGGUGCAUCCAUCUCUAUGUACAAUGUUCUCCUGGUUCUACUUCUCUCACUCUGCAUCCAUUCCUGGAGGUCUUUCCAGUUCCUGUGGAAUUCCACCAGUUUAUUAUUCCUUUGAGGUCUAUACUAUUUCAGCACCCAGAGGUACCCCAAUUUGUUCAGCCAUUCCCCAGUUGAAGGGUAUCCCCUCCUUUUCCAAUUUUUGGCCACUCCAAAGAGAGCAGCUAUCAAUAUUCUUGGUCAAGCCUUUGUCCUUAUUAUGGGUAUGUGGUAGAAACCCUGCAGUGCUAUGGCUGGAUCAAAAGGCAGACCAUUUUGUAGCACCCUCUGGGCAGAGUUCCAAAUUGCCCUCCAGAAUGGUUGGAUCAAUUCACCACUCCAGCAACAAUGCCUUCACAUCCAGACUUUGCCUCAUCCCCUCAAGCAUUCAUUAUAUUCCCUUGCUGUCAUGUUAGCCAAUCUGUGUAGCCUCCAUUUUCAAGAGGAGACACAUUCUCAUUGAUACUUUGCAUCAGAGUUACACCAUUAUUGGAUAGAUUCAAACUUUGAAACACCAGGCAGAGCCACCUAUUAGUUGUUCGGGAUUGGCAGAGGUACUGCUUACUCAAAUGACAAAAAGGGGUCCCAGUACUGAUGUUCGUCUAAACCCAAUAGCAGGAAUGCAAGUUGCAACAUUCCAUUCACUGUAUCGGUCUUGGCCAUUAAAUUUUUCAAAUGUGCUAGGUAAAAUGGAGAAUCCUCUUCCUAGUGCUGGAAUCUUUCAAACUGUGAAUUUCUCUAUAAUUGUUCUUUCAAAAGUAACAUCCUUGAACCUGUUAACUUGGAAAUAAUGCCGAGCUAUCAAUUAGUCAUAAAAACCCAAGUCUUUAACCACAAUUUCACCUUUAAAACAAUAUUGAAAUUCAAAUUUAAAAGUUUUACACACACACACACACACACAUACACGGUAAUCUGAAAAAAUUAACCCUAACUCUUUGAAAACAAAUACCAGCUUGAUAAAAAUGUGAAAUGACUGCAUACAAAUAAACAUGUUAAUACCUCGAGGAAAAUGCCUCUUAUUAGCAAUACUCAAUAUUGCCUGCACUUGAUAUACACGAUUUCACACAUUACUCCUACCAAAAGGUGGGAAGAAAAUAUUAGACUGUAAAGUCAAGAAUUUCUGGUCUUCCUUUGGUCUUCUGCUCUAUAAUCCCCAGUACAGAUGACCAGCUCCUGCCCUUGUCUCUAGAUUUUCAGAGGAAUGAACUGUUGUAAUACAUCUUGAUAGACAUUAUUUGCUAACGUUUCUAUCACCUGCAAGUAGAAGAAAUCCAUUAGACAUACGGUAUAGCCCAAACCGCACGGAACAUUGAGAGGAAACGGAGAACUCAAGUUCUUCAGCUUCCUUGAGAAGCUCUUUCAUACAUCAAAUUUGAUAACUCUUUAGACCCUAAGCCCUGACGUUUAAAUUCAUGCAGAAACUUUAUCUAUUAUAGUAGCCUUAAAGCAGUUACUCAGAUGCAGUAGUGAACACUCUGGCUCUCACACUCCAACUCAAGCUUCCCAUUCAACGCUUUCAGCCAAACAUACAUGCAUGUCACCUAGACUCUCCUCGCUCUUCCUUCUACUAGAAAUACUAUUUCACUCACAUACACAGAUACCAACAGUCAGUCACACACAAACUUUAGUCAGUUAUGGAGCAUGUGUUCAGGUUGUCCCGGGCUCCAUUUUGGCCGACUUACCUUGGAACCAGAUUUGGUUGAUAUUCCACACUUUUUUACUUAUUGUAUUCUUUACUCAGAGUCUGGUGCCAGGACUUUUACAGGGUAUAAACCCAGGACUCUGGGGAUGUUAUCCCAGGGAUGGCCCCUAGCCUAGAUGACAUGUGUAAGUGUUAAGGUCCGGGAUUUCACCCACCACCAAGGAAGACCCAUGGACAACGCAAUCAGGCAAAGAAAGGGCCCUUUAUUGAACUAAUGCGCACUAGUGGGAACUCAGCCAAAUGAGUUCUGAGUUCCCUCCUGAAGAUUCAGUCUUAAAUACUUUUCAGCAUGAAUAACCCCCCUCCCUUCCUCAUUCCAGGCCAUUAUCUGUUGCAUGCUCUUGUUGGAAAGUUUCCGAGUUUUUUUGCACCUGGGACCUUCGUCCUGAAGUUUAUCUGUUAGUAGUUGGGACCUUGGACAGGUCCCAAAGAUUUAUCUGUCUGUGGCUUAGCAUUUCCCUUGACUGAAUAUCUCAAGGCUUGGGCAAUUUCCAACUCAGAUCUCCUUUACAAGGAGGAAAAGUAUUUGGGGAUCCUCUCUACCACAUGGGGGAAAUCUAGGAGCAUGGAAAGAUGAGUGACAUUGCUAUAGCUAAAAGGAAUUCCCUGACCGAAUACAAUCAAGCAUAAGAAAGGAAUGCUAGCAAAAGGCUAGGGUCUAAGAGAGUGGGGUGCUUAUAGUGGAUACUGAAGAAUAGUCCUCGCCAGGUGUGGAUCUUCUUGGGAAAGGGUCUCUUGAUAAAAUUGGGGAGACUAUCUAACUACGAUUGUCAUUCUCCCGAGGGUCCCUCUUCAGUCUGAAACUGCUCACCUCGGAUUCCCUCAGGGAGGAUUCCCAUGGGAACAGGGAAGAAGUACAAACUUUGGGGUCUUCAACCUACAAGCUCCUCCGUAAAUCUGGGCUUCACCAGAUCCCACUAGGCCACAAGUUUGGGAUUUCUAGAUUCCAUGUUGACACACCUUAUUGCCGAUGCUGUGAAUACAUCCACUGCAUCAAAUCAGGAAACAGUAGAAUCUGUAUUUGCCAAUGGUGGUCUGUUAAUGUAGAUACAGUAUCGUUUUUUUUUUUUUUGCUGGAAGCAGAAUUGCUUGCACUUUGACCGUGAUGAAAAUCAUAGCACAGACUUGUAAAAUCCCACGUGAUUCAUUGUCUGUUGUUUAUCUGGUUAUUUGUUGAACAGCUGUAAAAAUUAAAGGACAGCAAGAUGUAGAAAGUGUUCUAUUGAUGGACAGCACCGUGAAUCCUAUCUUGCAAAGACAGAGUUAAAAUUUUAGAACACUCUUUUGCUCUCACACCAAUCUCGUCAUUCCCGAGUCUGUGGUAAUAUCAAAGGACCAUGGCCUUCCCGGUUUUUCUAUUGUCAACCUGGAAUCAAGGAACCCCAAACUUGUGGCCUAGACGUAUCUGGUGUAGCCUGGAUUUCCGGAGGAGCUAAUAGAUUGGAGACUCCAAAGUUUGUACUUGUUCCCUGAUCCCGUGAGAAUCCAGAGAGAUAGAGACAGACAGAUAGAAAGACCGAUAGGCAGGCCGACUGGCAGAUGGGUAGUGAGAUAGGUAGGAGGGCAGAUAGAUGGAUAUAGAGAUAGCACAUAGAGAGACACGUAGUCAAACACAGAAAGAGAGAUAGACAGGCAGGCAGACAGACAGAUCGAGAGAUAAAUAGAUAGGAACAUAGAACAAAAAGACAUAGAAACAGAAACAGAAUGUGAGAUCGAGACAUUGAAAGAUUAAUAGAACUACAGGAUGAGGGAAGGUGAAACAAAGGGACAGACAGAGACAGAUAGAUGGAAGGGCAUAUAGAGGGAAAAUGGAAUCGAGAGACAGAGAGAGACACAGAAAGUCAGGCAUAUCGAUAGACAGGUAGACAGGGAUACACAAAUAUCUCUCUCUAUCUGUCUCUCUGUCUCUCUAUGUACCUUUCUAUCUCUCUGUCUGUUGAUCUGUCUUUCUAUCUAUCUAUCUAUCUAUCUAUCUAUCUAUCUAUCUAUCUAUCUAUCUAUCUAUCGAUGUAUCUAUCGAUCUAUCUAUGUCUUUGUGUUCCUAUCGGUGUAGUUUAUGUAUCUUUCUGCCUGCUUGUUUUUGCAUGGAUCACACUGUGUGUAUGUCAUUUGUGUGUUUUAAAGUAUUGUGACAUCCUGGGGAACUACAACUCCCAAUGUGACCUAGUGGUAACAUCCCUUUGAGUCCUGGCUUGGGAUUGGUCUUGCAUUGGACCAAUCCUGUGUUGGGGGAUGGACUUUGUCUAUGGUCCCUCCUUAGCAUGGGAUUGGUCCAUCUCAAAACCAAUCCCAUGAAAAGGAACUGGGCAUCAUCUCUUACCCAGCAGGGGAUUGGUCAAAUUCAAGGCCAAUCCUUCUCAGGAAAUAAGAGGGAGGGAACCUUGUAGUAUGCUGGGAGAUAUAGUCCAGUAGGCCACAACCAUUGAAUACCCACCUGAUCUCUCCAUGUAGAAGGAGACAUAGACAGGUAGACUGACCCACAGAUUAUUUGAUCUGUUAUUCUGUCUAUUCGCCUACUGGUUCUUGUGUCUGUCAGCCUGUCUGUGUUUCUUUUGUGGGUUUUCAAGUGUAGUGACAGGCUCGGGAACUACAAGCCCCAUUGUGCCCCAGGGAUCUGUACCUUUUGAGUCCUGGCUUGGGAUUGGUCCGGAAUUCGAUCAAUCCUGUCGUCGGGGAGGGACAAUACCCAUGGCCCCUCCUUAGCCCAGAAUUGGUCCAUCUCUUUAGCAAUCACGCACAGUAAAGUAGGGAGCAUCAUUCCUCACCAAGCCUAGGAUUAGUGCAAUUCAAGACCAAUCCCAACCAGGAAAGAUGGGGGAGGGACCCCUGGAGCACACUGGGAAAUGCAGUUCUUCAGGCGACAACCUAAGAAGAGCAAAACUAUAUCUUGCUCUAUAUCCAUGUAGACUGAGAGAUGGACAAGGGGACCGACAGACAGGACGACUGACAGACAUAAGGCUUGGUUUAUCUGUUUCUCUGUCUUACUGCAUUCCUGUCUAUGUACCUGUCAGUCUGUCUAUCUGUCUGUUCAUCAGUCCUCUCUGGGUAUCUGUCUCUAUAUAAGUAAGUAUGUGUGUUUCUGUCUAUGUAUGCAUCUGUUUAUCUCUCGAUCUCCAGUGUCUGUCAAUCUGUCUGUCCAUUGGUCUGUCCCUCUAUGGAAUUCAUCAAUCAGUCGAUCUUUCCCAUUCUUCUUCUCAGCUGUCCACCCUAGAAAAUCAGAACAAGUGGUUGCUGGCAAGCAAAGCAUAUGAUGGUGUCCCUGUGAUGUUCAGGUGGCUCAGAAGAUGUAUUUGGUUCAAGAUUGGAGGGGGAGUGGCAGACCUCUACUUUGGCCAGUGAGCUGUCCACCCUAGAAAAUCAGAACAAGUGGUUGCUGGCAAGCAAAGCAUAUGAUGGUGUCCCUGUGAUGUUCAGGUGGCUCAGAAGAUGUAUUUGGUUCAAGAUUGGAGGGGGAGUGGCAGACCUCUACUUUGGCCAGUGAGCUGUCCACCCUAGAAAAUCAGAACAAGUGGUUGCUGGCAAGCAAAGCAUAUGAUGGUGUCCCUGUGAUGUUCAGGUGGCUCAGAAGAUGUAUUUGGUUCAAGAUUGGAGGGGGAGUGGCAGACCUCUACUUUGGCCAGUGAGCUGUCCACCCUAGAAAAUCAGAACAAGUGGUUGCUGGCAAGCAAAGCAUAUGAUGGUGUCCCUGUGAUGUUCAGGUGGCUCAGAAGAUGUAUUUGGUUCAAGAUUGGAGGGGGAGUGGCAGACCUCUACUUUGGCCAGUGAGCUGUCCACCCUAGAAAAUCAGAACAAGUGGUUGCUGGCAAGCAAAGCAUAUGAUGGUGUCCCUGUGAUGUUCAGGUGGCUCAGAAGAUGUAUUUGGUUCAAGAUUGGAGGGGGAGUGGCAGACCUCUACUUUGGCCAGUGAGCUGUCCACCCUAGAAAAUCAGAACAAGUGGUUGCUGGCAAGCAAAGCAUAUGAUGGUGUCCCUGUGAUGUUCAGGUGGCUCAGAAGAUGUAUUUGGUUCAAGAUUGGAGGGGGAGUGGCAGACCUCUACUUUGGCCAGUGAGGCUCCAUCAUUUCUUUCCUAACGUCUUCACCCAGCACUCUGGAAUCUUUGCUGUGACUUCUCCAAUGGACAGAUGUUCCGUUCCAUCCUCCUAACGAGGCUUCGUCAUUUCUUUCCUAACUUCUUCUGAUUCGACUUUGAGACAACUCAGCACUCUGGAAUCUUUGCUGGAACUUCUCCAAUGAACAGAUGUUCCUUUCCAUCCUCUUAACAAGAUUCCGUAUCUUGGGGGCUCCUUCAGAUUUCUCCCAAGAUGUCUCUUUGAGCAGUUCGUCGGAUUCUGGGCUGCAGGAAAAUCUGGUCCAUGUUUUUGGCUCCUAAUAAAAGUCUUGAGGUUUCUACCCAAACAUAUCGGAAUAAGUGGUUGCAGGCAAGCAAAGCAUAUGAUGGUGCCCCUGUGGUUUUCAGAUGGCUCAGCAGAUGUAUUUGGUUCAAGAUUGGAGGGGGAGUGGCAGACAUACAGUUUGGCCAGUGAGGCUCCAUCAUUUCUUUCCUAAUGUCUUCUGAUUCGACUUUGAGACAACCCAGCACUCUGGAAUCUUUCCUGCAACUUCUCCAAUGAACUGAUGUUCCGUUCCAUCCUCUUAACAAGUGUCCACGCAAGAAUAUCGGAAUAAUUGGUUGCUGGCAAACAAAGCAUAUGAUGGUGUCCCUGUGAUGUUCAGGUGGUGUAGAUGUAUUUGGUUCAAGAUUGGAGGGGGAGUGGCAGACCUCCACUUUGGCCAGUGAGGCUUCGUCAUUUCAUUCCUAACGUCUUCUGAUUCGACUUUGAGACAACCCAGGACUCUGGAAUCUUUGCUGCAACUUCUCCAAUGAACUGAUGUUCCUUUCCAUCCUCUUAACAAGAUUCCGUAUCUUGGGGGCUCCUUCAGAUUUCUCCCAAGAUGUCUCCUUGAGCAGUUCGUCAGAUUCUGGGCUGCAGGAAAAUCUGGUCCAUGUUUUUGGCUCCUAAUAAAAGUCUUGAGUGCCUUCCUAUCUAUGGAUCUGUCAGUCAAAGUGUCUAUCUGCCCAUCAGUCCUCUCUGGGUCUCUAUCUCUACAUAGGUGUCCACUCUAGAAAAUCAGGAUAACUGAUUCCAGACAAGCAAAGCAUGUGAUGGUGCCCCAGUUGGGUUCAGAUGGCUCAGAAGAUGUAUUUGGUUCAAGAUUGGAGGGGGAGUGGCAGACCUCCACUUUGGCCAGUGAGGCUUCGUCAUUUCUUUCCUAACUUCUUCUGAUUCGACUUUGAGACAACCCAGCACUGUGGAAUCUUUGCUGCAACUUCUCCAAUGGACAGAUGUUCCUUUCCAUCCUCUUAACAAGAUUCCAUAUCGUGGGGGCUCCUUCAGAUUUCUCCUGAAGAUGUCUCCUUGAGCAGUUCGUCAGAUUCUGGGCUGCAGGAAAAUCUGGUCCAUGUUUUUGGCUCCUAAUAAACGUCUUGAGGUUUCCACCCAAACAUAUCGGAAUAAGUGGGUGAAGGCAAGCAAAGCAUAUGAUGAUGCCCCUGUGGUUUUCAGAUGGCUCAGCAGAUGUAUUUGGUUCAAGAUUGGAGGGGGCGUGGCAGACGUACACUUUGGCCAGUGAGGUGUCCACUCUAGAAAAUCAGGAUAACUGAUUCCAGACAAGCAAAGCAUGUGAUGGUGUCCCAGUUGGGUUCAGAUGGCUCAGAAGAUGUAUUUGGUUCAAGAUUGGAGGGGGAGUGGCAGACCUCCACUUUGGCCAGUGAGGUGUCCACGCAAGAAUAUCGAAUAAUUGGUUGCUGGCAAACAAAGCAUAUGAUGGUGUCCCUGUGAUGUUCAGGUGGCUCAGAAGAUGUAUUUGGUUUAAGAUUGGAGGGGGAGUGGCAGACCUCUACUUUGGCCAGUGAGGCUCCAUCAUUUCUUUCCUAACGUCUUCUGAUUCGACUUUGAGACAACCCAGCACUCUGGAAUCUUUGCUGUGACUUCUCCAAUGGACAGAUGUUCUGUUCCAUCCUCUUAACGAGGCUUCAUGAUUUCUUUCCUAUCGUCUUCUGAUUCAACUUUGGGACAACCCAGCACUCUGGAAUCUUUGCUGCAACUUCUCCAAUGGACAGAUGUUCCUUUCCAUCCUCUUAACAAGCUGUCCACCCUAGAAAAUCGGAACAAGUGGUUGCUGGCAAGCAAAGCAUAUGAUGGUGUCCUGGUUGUGUUCAGAUGGCUCAGAAGAUGUAUUUGGUUCAAGAUUGGAUGGGGAGUGGCAGACCUCCACUUUGGCCAGUGAGGUAUCCACCCUAGAAAAUCGAAAUAAGUGGUUGCAGGCAAGCAAAGCAUGUGAUGGUGACCCGGUUGUGUUCAGAUGGCUCAGAAAAUACAUUUUGUUCAAGAUUGGAUGGGGAGUGGCAGACGUCCACUAUGGCCAGUGAGGUAUCCACCCUAGAAAAUCAGAACAAGUGGUUGCUGGCAAGCAAAGCAUGUGAUGGUGCCCCAGUUGGGUUCAGAUGGCUCAGAAGAUGUAUUUGGUUCAAGAUUGGAUGGGGAGUGGCAGACCUCCACUUUGGCCAGUGAGCUGUCCACCCUAGAAAAUCAGAACAAGUGGUUGCUGGCAAGCAAAGCAUACGAUGGUGUCCCUGUGAUGUUCAGGUGGCUCAGAAGAUGUAUUUGGUUCAAGAUUGGAGGGGGGAGUGGCAGACCUCUACUUUGGCCAGUGAGCUGUCCACCCUAGAAAAUCAGAACAAGUGGUUGCUGGCAAGCAAAGCAUAUGAUGGUGUCCCUGUGAUGUUCAGGUGGCUCAGAAGAUGUAUUUGGUUCAAGAUUGGAGGGGGAGUGGCAGACCUCUACUUUGGCCAGUGAGCUGUCCACCCUAGAAAAUCGGAACAAGUGGUUGCUGGCAAGCAAAGCAUAUGAUGGUGUCCUGGUUGUGUUCAGAUGGCUCAGAAGAUGUAUUUGGUUCAAGAUUGGAGGGGGAGUGGCAGACCUCCACUUUGGCCAGUGAGGUAUCCACCCUAGAAAAUCGGAACAAGUGGUUGCAGGCAAGCAAAGCAUAUGAUGGUGUCCCUGUGAUGUUCAGGAUUGAUCAGAAGAUGUAUUUGGUUCAAGAUUGGAGGGGGAGUGGCAGACCUCCACUUUGGCCAGUGAGGCUACAUCAUUUCAUUUCUAACAUCUUCUGAUUCGACUUUGAGACAACCCAGAACUCUGGAAUUUUUGCUGCAUCUUCUCCAAUGGACAGAUGUUCCUUUCCAUUCUCUUAACAAGGUGUCCAACCUAGAAAAUAGGAAUACCUGGUUGUAGGCAAGCAAAGCAUAUGAUGGUACCCCUGUGGUGUUCAGGAUUGAUCAGAAGAUGUAUUUGGUUCAAGAUUGGAGGGGGAGUGGCAGACCUCUACUUUGGCCAGUGAGCUGUCCACCCUAGAAAAUCGGAACAAGUGGUUGCUGGCAAGCAAAGCAUAUGAUGGUGUCCCUGUGAUGUUCAGGUGCCUCAGAAGAUGUAUUUGGUUCAAGAUUGGAGGGGGAGUGGCAGACCUCUACUUUGGCCAGUGAGCUGUCCACCCUAGAAAAUCAAAAUAAGUGGUUGCUGGCAAGCAAAGCAUGUGAUGGUGACCCGGUUGUGUUCAGAUGGCUCAGAAGAUGUAUUUGGUUCAAGAUUGGAGGAGGAGUGGCAGACCUCCACUUUGGCCAGUGAGGUGAGUGGCUGUGGCAGACUGCAUGAUGCGUCCAAACCCUUCUGAUCAGACUGACCCUGAGGUGCUGGAAGUCUUGAAUAGGAAAUCAAGGAAUCAAGAUCUCAGAGGCUAAGCUCUGCGCCUUACUUACAGGGAUCUUAACCUGUUGUCCUGACGUUUCCCAACAAGGAGCAUUUACUAAACAAAAAUGGCAUUUCCUCGGGCAGACUAUGAAACAAAGUGAGUCAAAAUGACACAGAAUGUUUACCGCCAUUGAGAUUCCAUGCAAUCUAGUGAGGAUACUGCACAAACUGUGGAGAGAUGAGCUGUUACUCAGCUGCAGUCCCCACCUUUCACUGCUUCUACUCAGGCUUCUUACCCCUUUGAAUGAGAUGCCCAAGAGAAACACCCCUUCUUUAAUGCUGCAGAUAUCAAGAACUAGCCCCAUGGCCUGGGGCAAACCUCCUGCCCGAACCCCUUCUUUCUGUGCCCUGUCCUCACCUCUGUUAAAUGAUAGCUAAACCUCAGCAUUGAGACAUGCCUGUUUGUCCAUCUAUCAGCCUGUGUGUCUGACUUUUGUGCUUUUUAACCUGUUGAAGCCUGGGUAAAUACAACCCACAGUGUGCACCAGCAGGACCAUCCGUUUGAGUCCUUGUUUGGGAUUGGUCUUGAAUUGGACCCAUUCCAUGAUAGAGGAGGGACAAUGGCCAUGAACUCUCCUUAGCACGGAAUUAAUACUUUUCAAGACCAAUCCCAGUAAAGGAAAUAUUGGACAUCAUUCCCUCGACUAGCAUAGAACUGGUCCAAUUCAAGACAAAUCCCUCCCCGGAAAUAAGGAGUAAGGGCCCCUGGAGCAUGCUGGGAGAUGCAGUCUCCCAAGCCACAAUACUUGAAAAGCCAUACUAUCUCUAUGUAUCUAUGAAAACGGAGAGAUAGACAACUGGACAGACAGAAGGACUGACAGAGAGAUUAGUUGCUAUGUUAUUCUGUCUAUCUGCGUGCUGUUUGGUGCAUCUGUCUGUCUAUCUUUUGAGGGUUUUCAAGUGUUGUGACCUCCUGGGGAACUACAACCCCCAGUGUGCUCCAGGAGUCCCACCCCUUUGAGUCCUGCCUUGGAGUGCUCCCGAAUUCGACCAAUCCCGAGUUACGAGAGGGACAAAGCGAAUGGCCUCUCCUGAGCCCAGGAUUGAUCCAUUUAUAAGCCAAUCACACACAACAGUAGCGAGGAAUAUCCCUAUCCCUGCCUCGGUCCAAUUCAAGACCAAUCCCUCCCAGGAAAUGAGAUGGAGGGACUGCUGGAGAACACUGCAGUGUGCAGUUCCUCAGGGCACAAGGCUACAAAACACAUUCUAUCUCUAGCUCUAUAUCCAUAUAGACUGAGAGAUGGCCAAGGGGACAGACAGACAGGAGGACUGACAGACAGAGACCUUCGUCAAAGGUCAAUGGCAUUCCCGGUUUCCCUAUUGUC